This 639-nucleotide ribosomal RNA is filed under the name Triticum aestivum (bread wheat). RNAcentral's name for it is "partial small subunit ribosomal RNA". Lineage: Eukaryota; Viridiplantae; Streptophyta; Magnoliopsida; Poales; Poaceae. The record is from RNAcentral.
AUGGUUGUAGAUUAUCGUGCGUUGAAUGAGGUGACGAUCAAGAACAAGUACCCUCUGCCGAUGAUCAAUGAUUUGUUUGACCAGCUACAAGGAGCAAAAGUUUUCUCAAAGAUCGAUCUUCGAUCAGGAUAUCACCAGCUGAAGAUUCGAGAACAGGAUAUACCCAAGACAGCUUUUACCACGAGAUAUGGGCUUUAUGAGUACACGGUCAUGUAUUUUGGUUUGACUAACGCCCCUGCCUAUUUUAUGAGUAUGAUGAAUAAGGUAUUCAUGGAGUUCUUGGAUAAGUUUUUUGUGGUAUUCAUUGAUGACAUAUUGAUUUACUCGAAGAAUGAAGAAGAACACAAGGAACAUUUGCGCUUGGUUCUAGAGAAGCUCAGGGAACAUCAAUUAUACGCAAAGUUCAGCAAGUGCGAAUUCUGGUUGAAGGAAGUCAGAUUUCUCGGACAUAUUAUAUCAGGAGAAGGAAUAGCAGUAGACCCCUCCAAGGUUGAAGCCGUCACCGAAUGGAAGGCACCCACCUCAGUCGGAGAGAUUCGUUGUUUUCUUGGACUCGCGGGAUAUUAUCGGAGGUUUAUUGAGAAUUUCUCCAAGAUCGCGAAGCCCAUGACGGAGUUAUUGAAGAAAGACACUAAGUUU